This 172-nucleotide small RNA is filed under the name Podarcis lilfordi (Lilford's wall lizard). The record is from RNAcentral. Lineage: Eukaryota; Metazoa; Chordata; Lepidosauria; Squamata; Lacertidae.
UUGACAGCUCUGGAGACUGAAGUCCUCUCUUCACCGCCACAGCAGGCUGAGCCCAAGCAUCAUCAGUGCAAGUCUUCGUCACCAGUGUAUUGCUGCCUUGCAUGUGAAAGGCCAUAUUGUGGGGUGAAAGGGGGAGUUCAGUCUCCAAAGCCCACUUGGUCAUUUGGCCUAU